CCUACGGGUGGCAGCAGUGGGGAAUAUUGGGCAAUGGGCGCAAGCCUGAACCAGCAACGCCGCGUGCAGGAAGAAGGCUCUCGGGUUGUUAACUUCUUUUGUCAGGGACGAAGCAAGUGACGGUACCUGACGAAUAAGCCACGGCUAACUACGUGCCAGCAGCCGCGGGAUUCCGUAGGUGGCAAGCGUUAUCCGGAUUUACUGGGUGUAAAGGGCGUGUAGGCGGGGAAGCAAGUCAGAUGUGAAAACCACGGGCUCAACCUGUGGCCUGCAGUUGAAACUGUCUUUCUUGAGUGCUGGAGAGGCAAGCGGAAUGCCUGGUGUAGCGGUGAAAUGCGUAGAUAUACGGAGGAACACCGGUGGCGAAGGCGGAUUGCUGGACAGUAACUGACGCUGAGGCGCGAAAGCGUGGGGAGCAAACAGGAUUAGAUACCCGAGUAGUC
RNAcentral lists this ribosomal RNA (443 nucleotides) under uncultured bacterium. Its description in RNAcentral is "partial 16S ribosomal RNA". It matches the Rfam family "Bacterial small subunit ribosomal RNA", at positions 338 to 795 of the family's 1533-position model. The record is from RNAcentral.